Molecule: transfer RNA, 72 nt
Filed under: Ictidomys tridecemlineatus (thirteen-lined ground squirrel)
Lineage: Eukaryota; Metazoa; Chordata; Mammalia; Rodentia; Sciuridae
Description: Spermophilus tridecemlineatus (thirteen-lined ground squirrel) tRNA
Rfam family: tRNA
About the family: Transfer RNA (tRNA) molecules are approximately 80 nucleotides in length. Their secondary structure includes four short double-helical elements and three loops (D, anti-codon, and T loops). Further hydrogen bonds mediate the characteristic L-shaped molecular structure. tRNAs have two regions of fundamental functional importance: the anti-codon, which is responsible for specific mRNA codon recognition, and the 3' end, to which the tRNAs corresponding amino acid is attached (by aminoacyl-tRNA synthetases). tRNAs cope with the degeneracy of the genetic code in two manners: having more than one tRNA (with a specific anti-codon) for a particular amino acid; and 'wobble' base-pairing, i.e. permitting non-standard base-pairing at the 3rd anti-codon position.
Source: Rfam by way of RNAcentral
AGGGAUGUGGCUCAGUGGUAAAGUGCUUGCCUAGCAUGUAUGAGGCCCUGGGUUCAAUCCCCAGCACUCCAA